GUUUCCACAUUAGCUUAGUGGCUGAGCAUUUGUCUUCCAUGCAGAAGGUCCCAGGUUCAAGUCUCGGCACCUCCA
Molecule: non-coding RNA, 75 nt
Organism: Podarcis lilfordi (Lilford's wall lizard)
Lineage: Eukaryota; Metazoa; Chordata; Lepidosauria; Squamata; Lacertidae
Source: the annotation of a GenBank genome assembly